RNAcentral lists this unclassified non-coding RNA (395 nucleotides) under soil metagenome. RNAcentral's name for it is "partial contains 5.8S ribosomal RNA, internal transcribed spacer 2, and large subunit ribosomal RNA". The stretch from base 1 to 120 matches the Rfam family "5.8S ribosomal RNA", at positions 35 to 154 of the family's 154-position model. The record is from RNAcentral.
GAUGAAGAACGUAGCGAAAUGCGAUAAGUAAUGUGAAUUGCAGAAUUCAGUGAAUCAUCGAAUCUUUGAACGCACCUUGCGCCUUUUGGUAUUCCGAAAGGCACACCUGUUUGAGCGUCAUGAAUACCUCAAUCUCCAUCUUUUCUUCGAAUUGAUGGGUGACUUGGAUGUUGAGCCCUGCUGGUAUGCUAUAUCAGCUGGCUUUAAACUUAUUAGCCGGCUCUGUACUGGAUCGGUUUGACUCGACGUGAUAAUAUUAUCGUUGAGGAUGCAUGUCUCAUGCAGCCGGAAAGUAUCAAAGCAGCUUCUAGCUUGCCUUUAGUGCACUUUUACAUUUUAGACCUCAGAUCAGGUGGGACUACCCGCUGAACUUAAGCAUAUCAAUAAGCGGAGGA